UCUCUCUUUCUCUCUCAUUCAAACUCUCAAAUAAAGCUUAAAAAAUCUAUAACUAGCAACGUAAUUAUGUGUUUUAUCAAUAAAUUAUCAUGGUCUUUAGAAUUUUAACUUUGACAAAUUCAACAUGUGAGAAAAUAAUGCAAAACAUGAUAUUAAUUUUAGGCACCAAAAACUACUAUGCUAAAAAUUGAACUAAAUUGUAUUUAAG
RNAcentral lists this long non-coding RNA (208 nucleotides) under Lathyrus oleraceus (garden pea). RNAcentral's name for it is "Pisum sativum (pea) long non-coding RNA (PSAT_LNC041760)". The record is from RNAcentral. Lineage: Eukaryota; Viridiplantae; Streptophyta; Magnoliopsida; Fabales; Fabaceae.